Molecule: long non-coding RNA, 569 nt
Filed under: Ananas comosus (pineapple)
Lineage: Eukaryota; Viridiplantae; Streptophyta; Magnoliopsida; Poales; Bromeliaceae
Description: long non-coding RNA (ACOM_LNC028548)
Source: RNAcentral
AUAUACAGAGUUCAGCUGCUAUACUAUCGGUAGCACGGGACCUCCCGUGAUACAAAGUUGUUUUCGAUGAUGCGGCUUCAAAAUCAACGAUUGGCUCCGUUAGACUUGAUCUACACUAUUAAAAGUAUUUGAAAACUAAAUUUUAUAAUUUUUCGACAUCAUUUGACUAGUGAUCAAAAGAUCUCAAAAUUGACCAUUUUAAUGGCCAAUGUGGCGUGUUUGUGAAUUUAACGGUGUAAAACAAUCCAAAUCUGAUGAAAAUUUUAUAGAAAAUUCUUUUCACUAUUUAGAGUAAGAUCAGUAUAUCUGAUCUUGAAUUUAAAUCUUUUAUCAUCAUUUUUUAUGAAAUUUUUAUUUUCAGCCGUUCAAUUUUAGACUAUUUGUUUGAUCGGUAAAUAAUAUCGAAAAAUUAUGAAAUUUAGUUUCCAAAUAUUUUUAAUAGUGUAGAUCAAGUCUAACGGAGCCGAUCAUCGAUUUGGAAGCUGCAUCAACAAAAACAACUUUGUAGCACGGGAGGUCCCAUACUACCGAUAGUAUAGUAGCCAGACUCUAUAUAUGUAUAUAUAUUC